RNAcentral lists this ribosomal RNA (337 nucleotides) under uncultured bacterium. Its description in RNAcentral is "partial 16S ribosomal RNA". The stretch from base 1 to 293 matches the Rfam family "Bacterial small subunit ribosomal RNA", at positions 100 to 399 of the family's 1533-position model. The record is from RNAcentral.
AAAAAAAAACACGUGAGUAACCUGCCCUUGACUUUGGUAUAACUUCAGUAAACUGGGGCUACUACCGCAUAGCAGCUACUGCUGCAUGGUGGGGGUUGGAAAGUUUCGGCGGUUGGGGAUGGACUCGCGGCUUAUCAGCUUGUUGGUGGAGUAGUGGCGUACCAAGGCUGUGACGGGUAGCCGGCCUGAGAGGGUGACCGGCCACAUUGGGACUGAGAUACGGCCCAGACUGCUACGGGAGGAAGCGGUGGGGAAUAUUGCACAAUGGGCGGAAGCCUGAUGAAGCAACGCCGGUUGUGUUAAGUGGUCCGGCGGCCACCAAGAUCUACACGUAAGG